GGUAGAGGGGGCAACCCCUUGAGAGUGGCGAACGGGUGAGUAAUAUAUCGGAACGUGCCCAGUCGUGGGGGAUAACGUAGCGAAAGUUACGCUAAUACCGCAUACGAUCUAUGGAUGAAAGCGGGGGAUCGCAAGACCUCGCGCGACUGGAGCGGCCGAUAUCAGAUUAGGUAGUUGGUAGGGUAAAGGCCUACCAAGCCAACGAUCUGUAGCUGGUCUGAGAGGACGACCAGCCACACUGGAACUGAGACACGGUCCAGACUCCUACGGGAGGCAGCAGUGGGGAAUUUUGGACAAUGGGCGAAAGCCUGAUCCAGCCAUUCCGCGUGCAGGAUGAAGGCCCUCGGGUUGUAAACUGCUUUUGUACAGAACGAAAAGGUUUCUAUUAAUACUAGGAGCUCAUGACGGUACUGUAAGAAUAAGCACCGGCUAACUACGUGCCAGCAGCCGCGGUAAUACGUAGGGUGCAAGCGUUAAUCGGAAUUACUGGGCGUAAAGCGUGCGCAGGCGGUUAUAUAAGUCAGAUGUGAAAUCCCCGGGCUCAACCUGGGAACUGCAUUUGAGACUGUAUAGCUAGAGUACGGUAGAGGGGGAUGGAAUUCCGCGUGUAGCAGUGAAAUGCGUAGAUAUGCGGAGGAACACCGAUGGCGAAGGCAAUCCCCUGGACCUGUACUGACGCUCAUGCACGAAAGCGUGGGGAGCAAACAGGAUUAGAUACCCUGGUAGUCCACGCCCUAAACGAUGUCAACUGGUUGUUGGGUCUUAACUGACUCAGUAACGAAGCUAACGCGUGAAGUGACCGCCCUGGGA
Molecule: ribosomal RNA, 810 nt
Filed under: uncultured bacterium
Lineage: Bacteria
Description: bacterial SSU rRNA
Rfam family: Bacterial small subunit ribosomal RNA
Source: RNAcentral